Rhipicephalus sanguineus (brown dog tick) is the source of this 365-nucleotide long non-coding RNA. RefSeq lists it as uncharacterized. The transcript is spliced from 4 exons. The record is from RefSeq and is a predicted model, not a curated record. NCBI's taxonomy places the organism in Eukaryota, Metazoa, Arthropoda, Arachnida, Ixodida, Ixodidae.
UAGCCGCCUACGCCUGGGUGCUCUCGUGAUCGCCUCCUUAACUUGGUGUAGACCAAAAUUGGCAUGGGAGGCUUUGCAGAAGCCGCAUGUGCGUGAGUCGACGAACUGUGUACUCGUGACGCUUGACAUCGACCACGACAGGCCUAGCGGAAGAACCAACAGGUGUCUAUCUGACUGUCCGCGGUGAAGUUCUGGUAUUGCAGCGUUCAUAAUGCGGACGACGUACAGGACUUCCUUGUGGAUUGAUGACAUAUUAUAUUAUACGGACGGACUAGAAAAAAGAGACGGACAAUAAAAGCACUUCGAUCUUGUUCUUCUUACUGCCGUGAAAAUAACGAAACGGAAGGAAAAAGGAUGCGCAACCG